AGUUAGGGAUAGUCAUAAUUUAAUUGUAGAUAUCUAUUAUCAAGUUAUAGAUAUCUUGAAAUUAAUUUUGAUUAGAGAUAUGUGAAAUUUGAGAUAUCUGUAACUUUCAUUCUGCCUAGUCAAAAUGUAAUUACAGAUAUCUUGAAUUUGAGUUUUGACUAGGCGAAAUGACGUUGCAGAUAUCUGUAUGUGUAUGCAAAUUAGGCCCGCAUCCCACUUUAGGCGGAGCACCUGUUAACUGUUAACUUGUAAUUAGCACUGAUUAGCACCAUGUCGGAGCAGCCAGAGGCCGAAGGAGUUUUUAAUCGUCUUUUUAAUGCUGCAGCCCGUGCAAGACAGGAGCUGGCAGCGAGAAAUAAUGAUUCAACGUUACUUUCCACAACAAGACGACUAUUUCGCCGGCAAGUUCAUCGAGUUCGGGGAGGAUCUGGUGGACGGAGGGAAAGCCCUAUUUGGCAAGCAAAACUUUUCCUCCUUCCAGGGCCAGAUAAUGGUUUUUUACCUCCUACAAAAGAACUUGAGGAACUGGCUAAACUUGGAUUAAGUAAAUGAAAACCUGUGCAUGAGUCAACAGAGGCCGGACGCACAAACUCAAAGAUUGGGUUAAACUGGAGUUUAUCUGAAUUGAACAACUUUGUUUGCCAAAGCUACCC
Perca fluviatilis (European perch) is the source of this 653-nucleotide long non-coding RNA. RefSeq lists it as uncharacterized. The record is from RefSeq and is a predicted model, not a curated record. The transcript is spliced from 3 exons. Lineage: Eukaryota; Metazoa; Chordata; Actinopteri; Perciformes; Percidae.